GCAUCAAUAUGGGGACCUCCCGGGAGCAGGGCCCACCAGGAUGCCUACGGAGGGGGAACCGGCCCAGGGGAGAGAGGGGGGAGGGGACAGGG
This is a long non-coding RNA of Myotis brandtii (Brandt's bat), 92 nucleotides long. RefSeq lists it as uncharacterized. The transcript has 3 exons. NCBI's taxonomy places the organism in Eukaryota, Metazoa, Chordata, Mammalia, Chiroptera, Vespertilionidae. The record is from RefSeq and is a predicted model, not a curated record.